This 39-nucleotide ribosomal RNA is filed under the name Apis mellifera (honey bee). The record is from RNAcentral. Lineage: Eukaryota; Metazoa; Arthropoda; Insecta; Hymenoptera; Apidae.
GCCAACGACCAUACCACGUAGGAACUACUGGUUCUCGUU